CUAGUACUCCCUUCUCUGGAAAUACUUGUCAUUGAAAUGGAUGUAUCUAGAUGUAUUUUAGUUGUAGAUACAUCCAUUUUCAUUCAUUUUGAUGACAAGUAAUUCCGGACGAAAGGAGUAUAAU
Triticum aestivum (bread wheat) is the source of this 124-nucleotide non-coding RNA. Lineage: Eukaryota; Viridiplantae; Streptophyta; Magnoliopsida; Poales; Poaceae. The record is from Rfam.